CGCUCGUGGCCCAUUCCCUUUUCGUGCACUGUCGAUCGAAUUCGGCUCUCUCUUUGAUUCCAGGAGCCACUGCGACGAGCUUGUCAUCGCCAUUAGCGCGGGCAAGACGAGACUACGUGAUAGCUGCUGUUCUGAAUCGGUCGUCCCUGGCCACUUCGAUCCACUCACAGCGAUGGGAAACGUUGGGAUUUCUACAAGAAUCGUGCCUUCUUUCAAGGAGCCGAUGCGGAAGACGAUGAGUGAUGACGAGAGAGGAACGGGAAAAGAAGCAAAAAGAGACGCAUAUUUGGACAAAGGACAUGAAUAAGCUGGUUAUGAACUUUCUUCUGACUGGAGGUAUUGCUUGCACCAGGAAGAAAUUCUGGCUCGAAUCUGGAAGUGAACAUAUCCUCAAUUCCUUUUGGUGAUGCAUUUAUUUGUAUCAGUAGUCUUUAUAUAUCACCUGCUCCAUCCUGUUCCUUGCUCUUCCUUAUUGGCAAACAGCACAUACGCAUUUCAAACAGUGGCAGACCACAAGGCUUUGACGGAGACUGCAAUUGAAACAAUCAAUUGGAAGCCACAGGUCUUUUGCAGUGGAGUUUCGAAAAAGGCUUUGAGAGGACAACGACAAUGAUGACAUUCAAAGAUGAAAAGCCAGGCCGUUAUGAAGAGCUUCUGGAUGUUUCCCAGCAUGCAAAGACUGCAAAAGAGAUGGAUGGCCAUUCUCACGAGUGAGGGCCAUGAAAAAGCUUGCUUAGGAUGCUGAUAUGGGUCCAGAAGCAGCUUGAUGAGAAGGUUGCUUAUCCACACAUCAUCAAUUUGCAGAUAGCCUCGCUUGAAGAGUCGGCCAUCUAACCCUAUGAAAGUCAUACGUGUUGAAUCCAAGCCAGUGAAAUGACGUUCUUUUCAAGCAAAUGCAUCGGUAAUUUUCUAAACUUUGGUUCCAUAGAGCAUAUGGAUGCUAGUGUUUUCUUCUCCAGUAUAGCUGUUUCUGGCUCCUUGUGAUCCUUCAUAUGCAGCAAAUAAUUAACCUAGUUUGUGGAUAUCCUGAUGUUUUGACACCCCACCUAAAUAUCUGCAAGAUUUUUCUGCACUUGGUACCAGAUUGUUAUUGGUUGAAGGGCAUUGUUAUUUUAAAUGUGUUUAAUCCUUUUUCUUGCCCAUCUUCUGCAGUUUUUUUUGUCUGAAAACAAACUGUAUAACAUUCCUGAGAUAGUUGAGAAAGAUUUAUCCUUUUUAUUAUAUAAAUGGAAUGUGGCAUAUGAGGCUUUGCUUUUCACUGGAAGUUAAGUUUCAACUGAAAUGCCUCAGAGACCAAAUUUGCAUCGUUUUUUCAUGACAAUAAAAUGUUAAUACAAUAAAAUAUAGAAAACAAUUUCCAAGUAUGGAAAUAUCUCAAGACAUUGUCCAAGUGCCUUCCUGCAUUGUGCUAAGGAGAGAAAGGAAACCAAUUCUGCCUACAUACUCUGCAGCAAACAAGAAAAAGAAAAAGGGGAAACAAUGAAAAAGAGUUGCAUGUUCUGGAUGCAUCCUGGUGGUUAAUAUUUAACUCCACCAAGUACCUCUUUAAUCCUUCUGAUGAUAUAACAGCUACGGCACAUCAAGUUGUGACAUAUGUCCUAUCACAAUGAGCCAAAUCAAGUCUUUAAAACAUAAUACGACCAAAGAUGCAAUUUCUUGCUUAAUAAUGAUAAUAAUUUGAAAAAAAAGAGAAUAUAACAAAGGGAAAUCCUAAAUUACAACAAAGAAACUGAACCCAGAAGUGGAACCUCUAUCACUUUUCAUUUGAUAUUUGUUCUCAAAAUUUUCUCUUGCUUAAUGCAUGAUUUUCUGCAACUUGACUCUCCUCUUGCUUCCUUUCUUCAUAGCUUUCUUGAUUUCUGCAUUCAUCUUCCAGAAAAGGCUUCUAAAAUGCUUCUUACUGCAGUUAUUCGCCCAUUUCAAUGUCCUGCCCAGCUCAUCUCUGUUGUUUUAGCACAAAGUUAGCUGCUUAGGAUUCUGGCUGGAACUCUGAACUCAAAGAUCUUGCCAACAAAACUCUCCUUUUCUACCUACCAACGAAGGCCUUAAAACUUUUUUUGGCUCUUGGGACUCCAUUACUUCCUAUUCCUGUUAUUGAUCUUCCGAACUUGGUCAACAGCUUGUAUAGUUUCUGGCCCCACUACUUGAAUAAGCUGUGGGGAGAUAAAAAGGAAAAAUAAAGGACCAGAAAAUUGAAGAUCUCUGAUGGUGAUGAUGUAUAAUUUCUGACUCUUUGAAUUGACUGCGAAGACACAAUUAUGCUUUCAAUCAUCAAAUGUUCCUGCAAAUUAUUCCAUCAGUUUCUCUGCUGCCUUGAAUUUUCAGAUAGCCUAAAUAAAAGAUAAGCCUUGUCCGACCGUCUGGAGCUUUUACCAAACAAAUUCAGAAACAUAGAUAUUCAAUCUUUAGCUUACCGAACAUAUUCAGAAUAACAGAAUAAUUCAAAUUCAGAAUAACAGAUUUUCAGAAUAGCAGAUAUUCAAUCUUGAGCUUAUCUCAAAAACAGAUGUUCAAACACUUGCAGCUCUCCAUCCAGCUUCAUUGGUGUUUUGUCUCGGAUAUCUUGUGCUCGAGGUUCCUAAUCUAACAUUGUUGCAUCCACCUACCAGGAUCAGGACCCCAACAUGCCAUUGUUCCUGCUGGUUCUUGCUGAUCAAUUUGAGAAAGGAGUUGCAGCAGUCAUCUGGUAACUUUCAAGAAGCUUUGCUGCAUUCGCCCUUGCUUCCAUAGAAUGCAGUUAUUGAUGCAUGGAGCCAGAAGGAAACACAAAUAUGGUAAAGCAGUAGCUUCUCAAAUGGUGGUUUUCUUCCUGGACCUUUAUCCGUAAUUCCCGAUUUUGCCGAAGGUCUUGACUCUUGCUAAUGUUUAUACCAUUCACGUGGGUAAGUAACACCUCGAUCACCUUCAAGGCGGCUGCUCUUUAACCUUUUUCUAUCCAAUGUAUGCCGCCAGAUGAUGACUUCAUUCCAGUCCAAUUAUUUUGCUGCUACUUCAGGCAAUAGCUCCCUCGAUACUACACCCGUGACUGAAUCAGGUACAAGCAGUUUUAUAGUUCUUUGGAUCGGCAAGGGAGGAGAAAGGGCAAAAAACUGAUGAAAGAUGGUCGGCACAGGUACUUCACAGGCUCAGUUUUUAUCUUUAAAAAAUAGAGAAACAAAAAAUAAAGGAAAGAAAAUAGAUUGAUCACAAUCGAUACAAAUCCCAAAGAAGCCAUGAAGUGGAACAUUGGAUUUACAAUCAUCUAACUAUUUUCAACAAUGGAGUAGGAAACUUUUUAACUGUUUGUAGGCUGGAAAAUGAGGUCAUAGAGGUAUGCUGCGAUGAGCAGAGAGUAAAACGAGGGUGCAGGUUUGCCCUAUCUCAAGUGAUUUGAAGCGUGACAAGAUGCAAUAUAUGUGCAAAAAUUGUCAUCCGAGUGACACCAAGGCUUCUCUUCUUCCAUUGCCAUUAGAAGAAAGAUUUGAUGGAUGAGUUGGGGUUUUAUAAUUGUAGCUUGUAAGUUAAACCGAUUGUUCUGGGUCAUUUGUUUGUCUAAUAAUAGAAACAACACUUAUUGGAUAUGUGAUUGAUCUUGUUAACUCCCUUCAAA
Phoenix dactylifera (date palm) is the source of this 3589-nucleotide non-coding RNA. NCBI's taxonomy places the organism in Eukaryota, Viridiplantae, Streptophyta, Magnoliopsida, Arecales, Arecaceae. The record is from RefSeq and is a predicted model, not a curated record.